This 657-nucleotide ribosomal RNA is filed under the name uncultured bacterium. Its description in RNAcentral is "bacterial SSU rRNA". It matches the Rfam family "Bacterial small subunit ribosomal RNA", at positions 35 to 691 of the family's 1533-position model. The record is from RNAcentral.
GUGUGGCGGCGUGCUUACCAUGCAAGUCGAACGAAGCGGCUGCAGGGAUUCCCUUCGGGGAGGAACAGUAGCUGUCUGAGUGGCGGACGGGUGAGUAACGCGUGGGCAACCUGCCCCAUACCGGGGGAUAACAGCCGGAAACGGCUGCUAAUACCGCAUACGCCCAGGAGGCUGCAUAGCUUCCUGGGGAAAACUCCGGUGGUAUGGGAUGGGCCCGCGUCUGAUUAGCUCGUUGGCGGGGUAACGGCCCACCAAGGCGACGAUCAGUAGCCGGCCUGAGAGGGCGGCCGGCCACAUUGGGACUGAGACACGGCCCAGACUCCUGCGGGAGGCAGCAGUGGGGAAUAUUGCACAAUGGGGGAAACCCUGAUGCAGCGACGCCGCGUGAGCGAUGAAGUAUCUCGGUAUGUAAAGCUCUAUCAGCAGGGAAGAAAGUGACAGUACCUGACUAAGAAGCCCCGGCUAACUACGUGCCAGCAGCCGCGGUAAUACGUAGGGGGCAAGCGUUAUCCGGAUUCACUGGGCGUAAAGGGAGCGCAGGCGGCACGGCAAGUCUGGUGUGAAAACCCGGGGCUCAACCCCGGGACUGCAUUGGAAACUGCCGGGCUGGAGUGUCGGAGGGGUAAGCGGAAUUCCUAGUGUAGCGGUAUAGCGGGG